CCGUUUCCCAUCUAAAUAGUAUUCAUCAAUAAAGACAAAAAAGAUUAUCUUAAAUAUAAGAUUAUUUUGGUAAAAUCAAUGGGAUUGACAUUUUUCAUGAUGUUUCAAACAUUGAUUUAUUAAAUUAAGUGGUCGCGCGCGAUUGGACGGAGGACUUGUAUGUUUUAUACAAAAUUUAUUUUCCUGACACACAUUCUAUACAUUACUAUAACUUAUAAGCUUU
Cinara cedri is the source of this 223-nucleotide non-coding RNA. The record is from the annotation of a GenBank genome assembly. Lineage: Eukaryota; Metazoa; Arthropoda; Insecta; Hemiptera; Aphididae.